Molecule: ribosomal RNA, 510 nt
Filed under: uncultured bacterium
Lineage: Bacteria
Description: bacterial SSU rRNA
Rfam family: Bacterial small subunit ribosomal RNA
Source: RNAcentral
GGACAGUGGAGGCGAAUCAGAUCCAGCCAUCCCGGGAGGAGGACGAAUGCCGUGUGGAGUGUAAAAUACUCUUGUAGAGGCCGUAACACUUGUACCAAUCUGAGGUUGACGUUACAAUAAGAAUCAGCAUCAGCUAACUCAGUGCCAGCAGCAACACUAAUAAUGGGGCUGCUAUCUUUAUCCGGAAUCAUUGGGUGGAAAGCGUGCGCUGUCGUAAGUCUGAGUCGGAGUUGAAAGCUUCCAGCUUAACUGUACAAUUGCCAUUGAUACUGCAAUGCUAGAGUGAUGUAGAAGUAGUAUGAAUACUUCAUGUGGCGGUCAAAUGCAUAGCUAUGAAUUCGAACUCCGAUGGCGGAGCCAUAUCAAUACACCGAUACUGACGGUCAAGCACGAAAGCGGGGAGAGCGAACAGGAAUAGAUACCCUGCUAGUCCUCGCCGUAAACGAUGGAUACUAGCAGUUGGAUCUAACUGAUAUACUAUGAGUGUCCAAGCGAAAGCGAUAAGUAUAC